UACCCGCUGAACUUAAGCAUAUCAAUAAGCGGAGGAAAAGAAACCAACAGGGAUUGCCCUAGUAACGGCGAGUGAAGCGGCAACAGCUCAAAUUUGAAAUCUGGCUCUUUUAGGGUCCGAGUUGUAAUUUGCAGAGGGCGCUUUGGCUUUGGCAGCGGUCCAAGUUCCUUGGAACAGGACGUCACAGAGGGUGAGAAUCCCGUACGUGGUCGCUAGCCAUUGCCGUGUAAAGCCCCUUCGACGAGUCGAGUUGUUUGGGAAUGCAGCUCUAAAUGGGAGGUAAAUUUCUUCUAAAGCUAAAUAUUGGCCAGAGACCGAUAGCGCACAAGUAGAGUGAUCGAAAGAUGAAAAGCACUUUGGAAAGAGAGUCAAACAGCACGUGAAAUUGUUGAAAGGGAAGCGCUUGCAGCCAGACUUGCUUGCAGUUGCUCAUCCGGGCUUUUGCCCGGUGCACUCUUCUGCAGGCAGGCCAGCAUCAGUUUGGGCGGUGGGAUAAAGGUCUCUGUCACGUACCUCCUUUCGGGGAGGCCUUAUAGGGGAGGCGACAUACCACCAGCCUGGACUGAGGUCCGCGCAUUCGCUAGGAUGCUGGCGUAAUGGCUGUAAGCGGCCCGUCUUGAAACACGGACCAAGGAGUCUAACAUCUAUGCGAGUGUUUGGGUGUCAAGCCCGAACGCGUAAUGAAAGUGAACGGAGGUGGGAACCCGCAAGGGUGCACCAUCGACCGAUCCUGAUGUCUUCGGAAGGAUUUGAGUAAGAGCAUGGCUGUUGGGACCCGAAAGAUGGUGAACUAUGCUUGAAUAGGGUGAAGCCAGAGGAAACUCUGGUGGAGGCUCGCAGCGGUUCUGACGUGCAAAUCGAUCGUCAAAUUUGGGCAUAGGGGCGAAAGACUAAUCGAACUAUCUAGUAGCUGGUUCCUGCCGAAGUUUCCCUCAGGAUAGCAGUAACGUAUUCAGUUUUAUGAGGUAAAGCGAAUGAUUAGAGGCCUGGGGGUUGAAACAACCUUCACCUAUUCUCAAACUUUAAAUAUGUAAGAAGUGCUUGUUGCUUAAUUGAACGUGCACAUUUGAAUGAAACGUUAUUAG
Molecule: ribosomal RNA, 1085 nt
Filed under: Pyrenophora phaeocomes
Lineage: Eukaryota; Fungi; Ascomycota; Dothideomycetes; Pleosporales; Pleosporaceae
Description: LSU rRNA
Rfam family: Eukaryotic large subunit ribosomal RNA
Source: RNAcentral